Molecule: ribosomal RNA, 639 nt
Filed under: uncultured Streptomyces sp.
Lineage: Bacteria; Bacillati; Actinomycetota; Actinomycetes; Kitasatosporales; Streptomycetaceae
Description: bacterial SSU rRNA
Rfam family: Bacterial small subunit ribosomal RNA
Source: RNAcentral
GGAUGAGCCCGCGGCCUAUCAGCUUGUUGGUGGGGUGAUGGCCUACCAAGGCGACGACGGGUAGCCGGCCUGAGAGGGCGACCGGCCACACUGGGACUGAGACACGGCCCAGACUCCUACGGGAGGCAGCAGUGGGGAAUAUUGCACAAUGGGCGAAAGCCUGAUGCAGCGACGCCGCGUGAGGGAUGACGGCCUUCGGGUUGUAAACCUCUUUCAGCAGGGAAGAAGCGGAAGUGACGGUACCUGCAGAAGAAGCGCCGGCUAACUACGUGCCAGCAGCCGCGGUAAUACGUAGGGCGCAAGCGUUGUCCGGAAUUAUUGGGCGUAAAGAGCUCGUAGGCGGCUUGUCGCGUCGGAUGUGAAAGCCCGGGGCUUAACCCCGGGUCUGCAUUCGAUACGGGCAGGCUAGAGUGUGGUAGGGGAGAUCGGAAUUCCUGGUGUAGCGGUGAAAUGCGCAGAUAUCAGGAGGAACACCGGUGGCGAAGGCGGAUCUCUGGGCCAUUACUGACGCUGAGGAGCGAAAGCGUGGGGAGCGAACAGGAUUAGAUACCCUGGUAGUCCACGCCGUAAACGUUGGGAACUAGGUGUUGGCGACAUUCCACGUCGUCGGUGCCGCAGCUAACGCAUUAAGUUCCCCGC